GACGGAGGAUGCAAGUGUUAUCCGGAAUCACUGGGCGUAAAGCGUCUGUAGGUGGUUUAAUAAGUCAACUGUUAAAUCUUGAAGCUUAACUUCAAAAUCGCAGUCGAAACUGUUAAACUAGAGUAUAGUAGAGGUAAAGGGAAUUUCCAGUGGAGCGGUGAAAUGCGUAGAUAUUGGAAAGAACACCGAUGGCGAAGGCACUUUACUGGGCUAUCACUGACACUCAGAGACGAAAGCUAGGGUAGCAAAUGGG
RNAcentral lists this ribosomal RNA (253 nucleotides) under uncultured bacterium. RNAcentral describes it as "partial 16S ribosomal RNA". It matches the Rfam family "Bacterial small subunit ribosomal RNA", at positions 524 to 776 of the family's 1533-position model. The record is from RNAcentral.